CCUACGGGAGGCAGCAGUGAGGAAUAUUGGUCAAUGGGCGCGAGCCUGAACCAGCCAAGUAGCGUGAAGGAUGACUGCCCUACGGGUUGUAAACUUCUUUUAUAAAGGAAUAAAGUGAGGCACGUGUGCCUUUUUGUAUGUAUUUUAUGAAUAAGGAUCGGCUAACUCCGUGCCAGCAGCCGCGGUAAUACGGAGGAUCCGAGCGUUAUCCGGAUUUAUUGGGGUUAAAGGGAGCGUAGGGGGGUUGUUAAGUCAGUUGUGAAAGUUUGAGGCUCAACCGUAAAAUUGCAAUUGAUACUGGCAGCCUUGAGUACAGUUGAGGUAGGCGGAAUUCGUGGUGUAGCGGUGAAAUGCUUAGAUAUCACGAAGAACUCCGAUUGCGAAGGCAGCAUACUAACCUGCCACUGACAUUGAUGCUCGAAAGUGUGGGUAUCAAACAGGAUUAGAUACCCCAGUAGUC
RNAcentral lists this ribosomal RNA (460 nucleotides) under uncultured bacterium. RNAcentral's name for it is "partial 16S ribosomal RNA". It matches the Rfam family "Bacterial small subunit ribosomal RNA", at positions 338 to 795 of the family's 1533-position model. The record is from RNAcentral.